This 218-nucleotide long non-coding RNA is filed under the name Vitis vinifera (wine grape). RNAcentral describes it as "long non-coding RNA (VVIN_LNC007793)". Lineage: Eukaryota; Viridiplantae; Streptophyta; Magnoliopsida; Vitales; Vitaceae. The record is from RNAcentral.
GACCCUUUUUUAACCCAAACAUUCAAGAUCAAAGCCACCCACCUUAAAUAAGAAAAGCUUUGGUGGUUGAGUGCUCACUUUAUCUCGUACUUCUAUGUAAAAAUGCCACAUGCAUGGGUUUGAUUUACAUAAUAAUAAUAAAAGGAAUUCAAAAGCAUUGCCUAUUUCUUCUUCAUAAUAUUAAAGACAAUUAAUCACAAGUGGUAAUAAAGAGGAAU